GUGCUUGCUUCAGCAGCACAUAUACUAAAAUUGGAGUAAUAUGGAGAAAAUGAGCAUGGUCCCUGCACAAGGAUGGCAUACAAAUUCACGAAGCAUUCCAUAUUUUU
Nycticebus coucang (slow loris) is the source of this 107-nucleotide small nuclear RNA. NCBI's taxonomy places the organism in Eukaryota, Metazoa, Chordata, Mammalia, Primates, Lorisidae. The record is from RefSeq and is a predicted model, not a curated record.